RNAcentral lists this ribosomal RNA (523 nucleotides) under Thalassiosira rotula. RNAcentral's name for it is "partial Bacterial small subunit ribosomal RNA". It matches the Rfam family "Bacterial small subunit ribosomal RNA", at positions 1 to 538 of the family's 1533-position model. Lineage: Eukaryota; Bacillariophyta; Thalassiosirophyceae; Thalassiosirales; Thalassiosiraceae. The record is from RNAcentral.
AUGGAGAGUUUGAUCCUGGCUCAGGACGAACGCUGGCGGCGUGCUUAACACAUGCAAGUCGAACGGAAAGGCCCUGCUUUUGUGGGGUGCUCGAGUGGCGAACGGGUGAGUAACACGUGAGUAACCUGCCCUUGACUUUGGGAUAACUUCAGGAAACUGGGGCUAAUACCGGAUAGGAGCUCCUGCUGCAUGGUGGGGGUUGGAAAGUUUCGGCGGUUGGGGAUGGACUCGCGGCUUAUCAGCUUGUUGGUGGGGUAGUGGCUUACCAAGGCUUUGACGGGUAGCCGGCCUGAGAGGGUGACCGGCCACAUUGGGACUGAGAUACGGCCCAGACUCCUACGGGAGGCAGCAGUGGGGAAUAUUGCACAAUGGGCGCAAGCCUGAUGCAGCGACGCCGCGUGAGGGAUGACGGCCUUCGGGUUGUAAACCUCUUUCGACAGGGACGAAGCUUUGGUGACGGUACCUGUAUAAGAAGCACCGGCUAACUACGUGCCAGCAGCCGCGGUAAUACGUAGGGUGCAAG